GAUGAAGAACGUAGCAAAAUGCGAUACUUGGUGUGAAUUGCAGAAUCCCGUGAACCAUCGAGUUUUUGAACGCAAGUUGCGCCCGAAACCAUCCGGUUGAGGGCACGCCUGCCUGGGCGUCACGCAUCGCGUCGUCCCCCAACAUACUCUCCCUUUCUGGGUUGUCAUGUUGAUUGGGGACGGAGACUGGCCUCCCGUGCUUCUGGUGCGGUUGGCCUAAAUAGGAGGCCCCUUCGGUGGAUACACGGCUAGUGGUGGUUGUUAAGACCCUCGUAUUGUGCUAUGUGUUGUGAGCUGUUAGGGAAACCCUCACCAAAGACCCUAUUGUAUCGUCUUGGUACGAUGCUUCGACCGCGACCCCAGGUCAGGCGGGACUACCCGCUGAGUUUAAGCAUAUCAAUAAGCGGAGGA
This 411-nucleotide unclassified non-coding RNA is filed under the name soil metagenome. RNAcentral describes it as "partial contains 5.8S ribosomal RNA, internal transcribed spacer 2, and large subunit ribosomal RNA". The stretch from base 1 to 122 matches the Rfam family "5.8S ribosomal RNA", at positions 35 to 154 of the family's 154-position model. The record is from RNAcentral.